ACAGGGACAGGGCUCUGCUCAAAUACACAGGAGCUCAAAGCAGGGGUAGGACAGCUACCAUGGAAGAGCCUUAUGACAUGCAAAGAGUUUGGCUUCCAUCCAAUACUCAGUCCAGUCCCGCAAGGUGAGACUAAAGAGCUACAAAGUGAGUGUGCUGGACACUCUGAGAAUCUACAACUGGAGAAGCCAACAUUGCCUGUGGACUGAGAGCCACAUCCCAGAAAGUGAUGUUCAAGUUGAGAUGGGAAAGAUGGGUUGGAAAUGGGGGGGCAGGGGGAUGAGGGAGGAGGAUGCUGGGGGAGAAAAGAAAAAUCCUGGCCGAGGAAACUAAGUAUGUCAGGCUCCUGAGGAGUGGGGAGGCAGCAUGGUGGACCAGAGGGGCUUGGUGAAGCCAGAGAGGACAGAGGGAAUGCUUGACACAUCAAGCCUUUGUUUUCUCUCAUCCAGAUGUCCAGUGGUCUCAGGCAAAGGCCCAGGCAAUGGAGGCUUCCCAUGGGGCCCUCUACCUCUUCACUGCUCCAGGUCGGAUCUGCAGCCUGACGUGGCCAUUCCUCCAGUGUUUGGAGAAUCAUUGCCUUGCCUUCAUUCAGGAGCCAGAUUGCCUGGGCUAGAAUCCCAGCUCCACCAUUCACCAGCUGUGUAAACUCCCUGGGCCUCAGUUUUCUCACCUGUAAAAUGGGAUUCAUUGGACUGUUAUGGAUUAAAUGAGUUGACUUUUAUAAAGUACUUAGAAGAACCUUAUUUAUUUGUUAUGUAUAAAAUGAAAUUCCAUCCUGCCUAAUAAAUAUCAG
This 791-nucleotide long non-coding RNA is filed under the name Pan troglodytes (chimpanzee). RNAcentral describes it as "lncRNA (ENSPTRG00000054221.1)". The record is from RNAcentral. Lineage: Eukaryota; Metazoa; Chordata; Mammalia; Primates; Hominidae.